GGGCUGGUGCGCCACCCACCCCAUCCCAAGGCGCACAAGAGGGAAGGGUGGGCUAACCCUAGGCGUGGUGGGCUUGCCUUGGGUGGCAAGCCACCCUAGGGCGGCACCUCCUCCACCCUUGGCCGCCGCCCCCUUGCCGAUCUAGGGCUACCACACCACCUAGGGUGGAAAACCUAGGGGUGGGCACCCUCCUCCCUAUCCUCCUAUAUAUAGU
Molecule: long non-coding RNA, 214 nt
Filed under: Hordeum vulgare
Lineage: Eukaryota; Viridiplantae; Streptophyta; Magnoliopsida; Poales; Poaceae
Description: long non-coding RNA (HVUL_LNC004443)
Source: RNAcentral